This 113-nucleotide microRNA precursor is filed under the name Adineta vaga. RNAcentral describes it as "microRNA MIR397". The record is from RNAcentral. Lineage: Eukaryota; Metazoa; Rotifera; Eurotatoria; Adinetida; Adinetidae.
UCGAAAAACAUGCUUCCGUUCAAGAGUUAUAGCAUUUUGAAGUUUUGUUCUGUUUUUUGGGAUAUUAAAAAAAAUUGGAAAUUCGAUAACUCUUGAACGGAAGCAUGUUUUUC